GUGGUUUACAAAGUAAUUCA
This 20-nucleotide microRNA is filed under the name Pteropus alecto (black flying fox). Its description in RNAcentral is "pal-miR-876-3p". Its record names the gene pal-miR-876-3p. Lineage: Eukaryota; Metazoa; Chordata; Mammalia; Chiroptera; Pteropodidae. The record is from miRBase by way of RNAcentral.